CCUACGGGUGACAGCAGUGAGGAAUAUUGGUCAAUGGACGAGAGUCUGAACCAGCCAAGUAGCGUGAAGGAUGACUGCCCUAUGGGUUGUAAACUUCUUUUAUAUGGGAAUAAAACGUUCCACGUGUGGGAUUUUGUAUGUACCAUAUGAAUAAGGAUCGGCUAACUCCGUGCCAGCAGCCGCGGUAAUACGGAGGAUCCGAGCGUUAUCCGGAUUUAUUGGGUUUAAAGGGUGCGUAGGUGGAUUGUUAAGUCAGGUGUGAAAGUUUGGGGCUCAACCGUAACAUUGCAGUUGAAACUGGUAGUCUUGAGUGCAGUAGAGGUAGGCGGAAUGCGUGGUGUAGCGGUGAAAUGCUUAGAUAUCACGAAGAACUCCGAUUGCGAAGGCAGUUCACUGGACUGCAACUGACACUGAGGCACGAAAGUGUGGGUAUCAAACAGGAUUAGAUACCCUAGUAGUC
RNAcentral lists this ribosomal RNA (460 nucleotides) under uncultured bacterium. RNAcentral describes it as "partial 16S ribosomal RNA". It matches the Rfam family "Bacterial small subunit ribosomal RNA", at positions 338 to 795 of the family's 1533-position model. The record is from RNAcentral.